CUGAAACCGUGUACGUACAAGCAGUGGGAGCACCCUUUGGGUGUGACUGCGUACCUUUUGUAUAAUGGGUCAGCGACUUAUAUUCUGUAGCAAGGUUAACCGAAUAGGGGAGCCGGAGGGAAACCGAGUCUUAAUUGGGCGUUAAGUUGCAGGGUAUAGACCCGAAACCCGGUGAUCUAGCCAUGGGCAGGUUGAAGGUUGGGUAACACUAACUGGAGGACCGAACCGACUAAUGUUGAAAAAUUAGCGGAUGACCUGUGGCUGGGGGUGAAAGGCCAAUCAAACCGGGAGAUAGCUGGUUCUCCCCGAAAGCUAUUUAGGUAGCGCCUCGUGAAUUCAUCUCCGGGGGUAGAGCACUGUUUCGGCUAGGGGGCCAUCCCGGCUUACCAACCCGAUGCAAACUGCGAAUACCGGAGAAUGUUAUCACGGGAGACACACGGCGGGUGCUAACGUCCGUCGUGAAGAGGGAAACAACCCAGACCGCCAGCUAAGGUCCCAAAGUCAUGGUUAAGUGGGAAACGAUGUGGGAAGGCCCAGACAGCCAGGAUGUUGGCUUAGAAGCAGCCAUCAUUUAAAGAAAGCGUAAUAGCUCACUGGUCGAGUCGGCCUGCGCGGAAGAUGUAACGGGGCUAAACCAUGCACCGAAGCUGCGGCAGCGACACUGUGUGUUGUUGGGUAGGGGAGCGUUCUGUAAGCCUGUGAAGGUGUGUCGUGAGGC
This 718-nucleotide ribosomal RNA is filed under the name Salmonella enterica subsp. enterica serovar Enteritidis. RNAcentral's name for it is "partial 23S ribosomal RNA". It matches the Rfam family "Bacterial large subunit ribosomal RNA", at positions 550 to 1269 of the family's 2925-position model. The record is from RNAcentral. Lineage: Bacteria; Pseudomonadati; Pseudomonadota; Gammaproteobacteria; Enterobacterales; Enterobacteriaceae.